AUGUCCCCAGAGGACAAGAAAAUAGAUGGAACUCUUAGAUUCAUACCACAACACCAGCAAUUACAAGUUGUGGAUUGUUCCAAUGGCCUAGUCCUUUGCGGCUACAAGAGCUUCUAUACUUUUGGAAAUACUUGUCGCUUCAUUGUGUGCAACCCAGCAACAAAAGAGUGGAGAGCUCUUCCUGUUUCUAACACUAACAAUCACCCAUAUGUCUCAAAUUACUCCCGUUGUACAACUUUUCUCGCCUUUGAUCCGUCGUGGUCGGCACAGUUCUACGUCUUCCACUUUCUGCAGAAUGCCAAAGGUCGGCCAAUGGGUAUAAGGAAACUUGAGGUGUUCUCUUUCUGA
Molecule: ribosomal RNA, 348 nt
Filed under: Triticum aestivum (bread wheat)
Lineage: Eukaryota; Viridiplantae; Streptophyta; Magnoliopsida; Poales; Poaceae
Description: partial small subunit ribosomal RNA
Source: RNAcentral